ACGGGUUAUACAUCGCGUGCGGCAAUAAUAGGGGCAAUUUUGGCAUUUUUAGUCCUUGCCAGUCCUAAGGAUGGGCUCCAAGAUACCGGAAGAUAUUAUAUUGAUAUAUCGCAAAUCCGGUGCUUGCGUUCGCAGAUACUAAACGCUGAAGUAAUGUUCACUUCUAACGUUGAGACGCCGAGUUGGAAAAAUCCUAACGAUGCGACGGACCCAGAAAACUUGGUUUUUGUUUCUCUGGCUUUUUGUUGAUCUGGCGAAGCCUGUGGCCUCACGGAUGAUUGCGGAUGUUGUACCGAGGGAUCCGGUUCAGGCCUAGCAGAAUUGGCUCGAAGAUUUGUAGCAGAACGUGGCCGAUUCUGAGUUCCUGGUAUUUCGUGAAAUGCGACUGAUAUGGAAGGCUACGACUGGAGAUUGCUGGAUGGGGAAAAGCUGGAAUUCUGGUGGACGGCUGCUUGGAAUGUCGCAGAAUAUCCAUGCAUAAUGAUGAGUGUACAAUUUAAACGUUCAAAAAGCAGCGUUACGUAGUGCAUGUUGCGUAGACUAAAUCGCAUUGAUUACCGAUAGGGAAAGUCAUCGCACGAAAAGCGACACACAAAGAGCACGAAAGAGUACGCCGAGAAGAUUUUAAAAUUAAUGGCAUGCGCGUUUGUAUCGUCCAGUUUAGCACAAAAAUAGCGUAAACUUUAACACGCUCUUUGUCUCCACGUUUCUCUUUUCCCUUUUUCGUUUCGUCCUUUCAUAUCCGCUUUUGUUCCUUUUUGAUUCCGCCGCCGAGGACAUUCUUUCGAGCGCAGCCAUAAAGUCUAACGAAACUGUCGCGACAACUUAAUACGGUCACCGUUGCUGCAGAAACGAGCUCGAGCGCUCA
Long non-coding RNA from Harpegnathos saltator (Jerdon's jumping ant), 868 nucleotides. RefSeq lists it as uncharacterized. The transcript has 4 exons. The record is from RefSeq and is a predicted model, not a curated record. NCBI's taxonomy places the organism in Eukaryota, Metazoa, Arthropoda, Insecta, Hymenoptera, Formicidae.